GACGAACGCUGGCGGCGUGCCUAAUACAUGCAAGUUGAGCGAUGAAGCUUGGUGCUUGCCCCAAUUUGAAGAGCAGCGAACGGGUGAGUAACGCGUGGGGAAUCUGCCUUUGAGCGGGGGACAACAUUUGGAGACGAAUGCUAAUACCGCAUAACAACUUUAAACAUAAGUUUUAAGUUUGAAAGAUGCAAUUGCAUCACUCAAAGAUGAUCCCGCGUUGUAUUAGCUAGUUGGUGAGGUAAAGGCUCACCAAGGGGAUGAUACAUAGCCGACCUGAGAGGGUGAUCGGCCACAUUGGGACUGAGACACGCCCCAAACUCCUACGGGAGGCAGCAGUAGGGAAUCUUCGGCAAUGGACGAAAGUCUGACCGAGCAACGCCGCGUGAGUGAAGAAGGUUUUCGGAUCGUAAAACUCUGUUGGUAGAGAAGAACGUUGGUGAGAGUGGAAAGCUCAUCAAGUGACGGUAACUACCCAGAAAGGGACGGCUAACUACGUG
RNAcentral lists this ribosomal RNA (497 nucleotides) under uncultured bacterium. RNAcentral describes it as "partial 16S ribosomal RNA". It matches the Rfam family "Bacterial small subunit ribosomal RNA", at positions 28 to 507 of the family's 1533-position model. The record is from RNAcentral.